GCCCGUGUGGCGGAAUUCGGUAGACGCAGCGGACUUAAAAUUCGUGGGUUUUUAUAGACCUUGGGAGUUCAAAUCUCCCCAUGGGCACCA
RNAcentral lists this transfer RNA (90 nucleotides) under Wolbachia endosymbiont of Menacanthus eurysternus. RNAcentral describes it as "tRNA-Leu". It matches the Rfam family "tRNA". Rfam says of the family: Transfer RNA (tRNA) molecules are approximately 80 nucleotides in length. Lineage: Bacteria; Pseudomonadati; Pseudomonadota; Alphaproteobacteria; Rickettsiales; Anaplasmataceae. The record is from RNAcentral.